AAAAAAAAUUUAUUUUCUCUCCCUCUCCUCUCCUCUCCUCUCCUCUCCCAUUUUCUAAGGCCACUCUCUUUCUCUCUCUCUCUCUCUCUCUCUCUCUCUCUCUCUCGUCCCUACCCACACCUCUCUCUCUCUCUCUCUCUCUCUCUCUCUCUCUCUCUCAGCACCUUCCUCACCAGCACUCUCUCUCCUCCCUCCCUACCCACAUACACGCGCGUACACACACUCUCUCUCACCCCCUCUCCCCACCCGCACAUACACACACACUCUCUCUUGAGUUUUGUGCACGUGGGGAGAGGAAGAGAGAGAGAGAGAGAGAGAGAGAGAGAGAGAGAGAGAAAGUGUGUGUGUACUGUGGGUGGGGAGGGAGGAGAGAGAGUGCCGGUGAGGAGGGGGCUGUGAGAGAGAGAGAGAGAGAGAGAGAGAGAGAGAGGUGUGCGUGCAUGGGCAUGGGUGGGGAGGAGAGAGAAAGAGGGAGAGAGAGUGGCCUUGGAAAAUGGAAGAGGCCGGAGAGAAUGAAAAAAUAAUAAUUUUUCUUUUCUAAUGACCACAUUAAUUCAUAUAAAAAUUAUUAAUUUAUCUUUUUUUUUAAAUUCAUCUCAUUUAGAUUAAUUUUUUUUAUUAAAAAAAGACUAGAUUGAAAAUAAAAAAUUUUCAAUGAGACUAGAUAUGGCAUUACCCCUAUUUUUUGCUCCAAAUUGUGAUGUUGCAUGCAAGAUCUUUAAAUUGAACUUGAAUUCGGGUAAAUAUAAAUAUUAAAUACAUCAUUCUUUAUUGGUAUUAUUAUUAAUUUAUUCCUAUUUAAUUCAAAUCUAACUUUUCAGCUCUAUCAAAAUAUUUCGCGUCCAGAUGUAAAAAAAUAUUAAAUAUAAAUAUUACAAAUAUGAUUCUCUACUGGCUUAAAUUUUUAGAGAAUUAGGAUUGUUUUAUUUAAUUUAACGUAUUAAAGUAAUAGUUGUUUGAAUAAUAUGUAAUU
Molecule: long non-coding RNA, 973 nt
Filed under: Ananas comosus (pineapple)
Lineage: Eukaryota; Viridiplantae; Streptophyta; Magnoliopsida; Poales; Bromeliaceae
Description: long non-coding RNA (ACOM_LNC019250)
Source: RNAcentral